RNAcentral lists this ribosomal RNA (253 nucleotides) under uncultured bacterium. Its description in RNAcentral is "partial 16S ribosomal RNA". It matches the Rfam family "Bacterial small subunit ribosomal RNA", at positions 524 to 776 of the family's 1533-position model. The record is from RNAcentral.
UACGAGUGCUUCGAGCGUUAUCCGGAAUCAUUGGGCGUAAAGGGUGUGUAGGUUGUUCUGUUAGUCUUGUGUUAAAUAUACCGGCUUAACCGGUAUGCUGCAUGGGAAACGGCAGAGCUAGAGGACGGUAGGGGUCACUGGAACUCAUGGUGUAGCGGUGAAAUGCGUUGAUAUCAUGGGGAACACCAAAAGCGAAGGCAAGUGACUGGACCGCUCCUGACACUGAAACACGAAAGCGUGGGUCGCGAAUGGG